CUGCCGAGUUGUGUUUUUAUUUUCAUUGUCGCAGUUCUCGUAGUUUCUAUAACAAUUUACAGAAUCAAAUCGUUGUAGAAAUUGCGAGAACUGCUACAUAGAAAAUUAAAGCACAGAACUUUUUAAGGAG
RNAcentral lists this microRNA precursor (130 nucleotides) under Picea abies (Norway spruce). RNAcentral describes it as "miR11510 stem-loop (pab-MIR11510)". Lineage: Eukaryota; Viridiplantae; Streptophyta; Pinopsida; Pinales; Pinaceae. The record is from miRBase by way of RNAcentral.